Molecule: long non-coding RNA, 1142 nt
Filed under: Lactuca sativa (garden lettuce)
Lineage: Eukaryota; Viridiplantae; Streptophyta; Magnoliopsida; Asterales; Asteraceae
Description: long non-coding RNA (LSAT_LNC005794)
Source: RNAcentral
ACCCACUCAUCCUGAUUAAAUUAUGUACAAAAUGAUACAGCAUAUAUUCAUUGGUGCCCUUUCGACUUCUCCAGGGUCAUCCCCCACCCAUUUAACCAACAUGCAAAAACAUUUCAUAUAUAUAUAUAUAAAUUAUAGUAAAAAGCAAUCAAAUAAUUGGACAAAAGCAUAGAAUGACCUUGUACCUGUUGCAUGUAUAUAAUUACGUUUUUAAUUCAUGAAACAUUGGAGGAAAAAAUAAAACUUUUAAGUUGCCUCUUCUAUUACUCAUAUACAAAUCCCAUGACAAAAAAUAGUAUGAAACUAACAAGAGAAAUCAUGUUUGUACCUCUCUGCUUCGUGUCUCGUUUAACAGCCGCUUCAAUGGUUAAUUUCUUCUGUCUCUCAUGAAUCAUUGAUCGUUUAGGUUUUGCAGUUCACUGCUUCUGCUAUAUUGUUGCUUUGCAAUUGCCACCAGAGUCCGAGUGCAUCAUCUUCAACACCAUUGAAUCUAUUCCGUGUCCUAUCAAAUCUAAAGUAACGAGUGGUGAUGAAUUGGGAUUUGAGCAUUCCGAAAAUGAGUUGCCCCACGAUUCCACGCUCCAACCUUGGGUGGUCUGCUUCAAAAGAGAAAAAGUCGAAUCAUUUCAUUUCGUGCCCUAGAUUUCUUGUAUCUCCGAAUCGUGUUUUUAUUCAAGGAGCACUAAUGAAGUAUCAAUUGCUUGGAGUUUAAACAACGCACUCGCCUUAUUCUACUUGGUAUGCCCUAGAAUCUGGAUAUAUCCCUGAGUGAAUCUCUCGCCGUCGCACAUUGUGCUAGCUUCAAUCGUAAAUCGUAAUAGAUCCCCAAACAUCCCAAAAACAUUCUUAGGGUUCUGAAUUCUGAAAGGUCGUAUUCAGAAAAUGACGUGAUAACAAUUUCUCUUAUUUGGUUUUAAAUUAUUUAAUAAAAAUAAAGGUUAAGGUUAAGAAAUAACCCAACAAAUUUGUUUUUAACAAAAAUAAUCAUUUUGUACGAAUUGCUAAUUCCAAAGAAAAAAAAAUUUCUGAUAUAAAAAUACAUAUUUCGGAAUUAAAACUCUGAAAUUUCAAAAACUAAUCUGAAAUCUGAUUAAUAAUUUCAGAAUUUCAAGUAAAAAAAAGAUUUCUUUUAUUUGAAUAUA